GACGAACGCUGGCGGCGUGCUUAACACAUGCAAGUCGAACGGAAAGGCCCUGCUUUUGUGGGGUGCUCGAGUGGCGAACGGGUGAGUAACACGUGAGUAACCUGCCCUUGACUUUGGGAUAACUUCAGGUAACUGGGGCUAAUACCGGAUAGGAGCUCCUGCUGCAUGGUGGGGGUUGGAAAGUUUCGGCGGUUGGGGAUGGACUCGCGGCUUAUCAGCUUGUUGGUGGGGUAGUGGCUUACCAAGGCUUUGACGGGUAGCCGGCCUGAGAGGGUGACCGGCCAAAUUGGGACUGAGAUACGGCACAGACUCCUACGGGAGGCAGCAGUGGGGAAUAUUGCACUAUGGGAGGAAGCCUGAUGCAGCAACGCCGCGUGCGGGAUGACGGCCUUCGGGUUGUAAUCCGCUUUCGCCUGUGACGAAGCGUGAGUGACGGUAAUGGGUAAAGAAGCACCGGCUAACUACGUG
This 468-nucleotide ribosomal RNA is filed under the name uncultured bacterium. RNAcentral's name for it is "partial 16S ribosomal RNA". It matches the Rfam family "Bacterial small subunit ribosomal RNA", at positions 28 to 507 of the family's 1533-position model. The record is from RNAcentral.